UUGGUACCCCUCCCUGGCGUCAGAAAGAAGCCAAACAAGGAGCUUUCUGCAGAAUGAAACCUUUCCUUUCAGAAGCACUGCUGACAGUUUGGUGGUUGCCAUUGGGGCAGUGAGCCUUUUGUCCAUUCUGAGGUUGGGCUGGUUUCUCCUCUUGGCCGUGCCCUACAGACCAUAAAGGAAAUCAGCUAGAAGUCCCCAGAAACAUCCACAGAUGGCCCUGGACAUCAGCCACAUUCUGAGAAACAUGUCAUGUUCUGGGAGGUCUAAGGCAUCAAUGCAUGGGCGCUGUCCAACCUCUGGUGCUGAAGCAGCCAAGAGACGCAAGCCUGCGUGGCUGCCUCUUAGGAUAUGACAGCACAGCCACUGGCCUCUACUGAAUCCUAUGCAACCUCAGAAGACACCCAGGAGUGAUGCCAUCAUGUGGUGCAAGAGUUCUGAGGGACCACAAUCCUGAAGACAUUGAAUGGCUGUGUUCCUGCUCAUUGCUGGAGGUACUGUCAGGGUCCCUGUCCUCAACCCCUGGUCUGACACUUGCAGAUCAGGCAGGACAUUCUGGAGGAAUCAUGCCCUUGGAAGGAUCCCUGAGGAGUGACUGUUGUUAGAUUAAAAAACAGUGGCAAAGAGCAAUACAGAGAGUUGCCAAAAUUCACACCGCUGGUCCAGGUUUGAAGCAAGCAGUCUGUACCUGCAGUCCUUGUCUGUAACCAUGGCACCCUGGCUUCUCACACAUCUCAUCGUGGAGUUCCACCAUGUGUCAGGCAUGGCACUGAGCACCUUCUUUUAAGAAUAUAAUUUGUAAUUAUGUAGAUUAUUAAUUCUACUUCAAAAUGCCACACAGCCUUCAUGUGAUAAAAUGAAACAAUUGCUCAACUGAUCUCCUGGGAUCUCUACUAAGAUGUUGGCAGCCCGGCCAGCUGGUCUGGCCCUGGACGUGCCUUCAUGGUCUGGUUAUGCUUCAUGACCUGCACUGUGGUCAGUGCCAUUUUGCAGACUCUGAUCACAGUGAAACGUUCCAUGGGAACUUGGGCCAUGAGAAACAUCCUUCCUAACCACGUGACUGCAGAAACAUCCUUAUCGCGUCCUCCUGGGCAAAGGCCCAACAGCCUGACUGCAGGGACAUCCUUGCCAUAUCCUGCUGGGCAGCAAGCUCUACCACCCAGAUCCCUCCCUCCCAGUCCCAUGAUUACCCCAGCCUGUGAGUGGCAGUUGGUGCUGGCACUAAGCUGGUUUCCUCCUCCCCAGGGUUUUGCUGGCAAUAAAGAUGUUGCUGUUGAAGCCA
This is a long non-coding RNA of Homo sapiens (human), 1279 nucleotides long. Ensembl annotates it as cytochrome P450 family 4 subfamily F member 29, pseudogene. Its record names the gene CYP4F29P. The record is from Ensembl. Lineage: Eukaryota; Metazoa; Chordata; Mammalia; Primates; Hominidae.